UACGUAGGCAGCGAGCGUUGUUCGGAAUUACUGGGCGUAAAGAGUGUGUAGGCGGUGCUCCAAGUCUGUUGUGAAAUCUCCCGGCUUAACUGGGGGGGUGCAGCGGAUACUAGAGUGCUAGAGGGUGGGAGAGGAAAGCGGAAUUCCUGGUGUAGCGGUGAAAUGCGUAGAGAUCAGGAGGAAUACCGAUGGCGAAGGCA
RNAcentral lists this ribosomal RNA (200 nucleotides) under uncultured prokaryote. RNAcentral's name for it is "partial 16S ribosomal RNA". It matches the Rfam family "Bacterial small subunit ribosomal RNA", at positions 524 to 723 of the family's 1533-position model. The record is from RNAcentral.